UGAGGAAUAUUGCACAAUGGGCGAAAGCCUGAUGCAGCGACGCCGCGUGGAGGAUGAAGGUCUUCGGAUUGUAAACUCCUGUCAAAUGGGAAGAAAGACCUGUCUAUAAUACAGAUGGGGGAUGACGGUACCAUUAGAGGAAGCACCGGCUAACUUCGUGCCAGCAGCCGCGGUAAUACGAGGGGUGCAAGCGUUAUUCGGAAUUACUGGGCGUAAAGGGUGCGUAGGUGGUGUAUUAAGUCUGUUGUUAAAUCUCCUGGCCUAACCGGGAAAUCGCAAUGGAAACUAGUACGCUAGAGUGUGAGAGAGAGAAGUGGAAUUCUCGGAGUAGCGGUAAAAUGCGUAGAUAUCGAGAGGAACACCGAUGGCGAAAGCAGCUUCUUGGCUCACUACUGACACUGAAGCACGAAAGCGUGGGGAGCAAACAGGAUUAGAUACCCCGGUAGUCC
RNAcentral lists this ribosomal RNA (449 nucleotides) under uncultured bacterium. RNAcentral's name for it is "bacterial SSU rRNA". It matches the Rfam family "Bacterial small subunit ribosomal RNA", at positions 355 to 796 of the family's 1533-position model. The record is from RNAcentral.